Peromyscus maniculatus bairdii (prairie deer mouse) is the source of this 1340-nucleotide non-coding RNA. NCBI's taxonomy places the organism in Eukaryota, Metazoa, Chordata, Mammalia, Rodentia, Cricetidae. The record is from RefSeq and is a predicted model, not a curated record.
CUGGGGGAAUUUCCAGUGAAAUCUCUACUGAUUUAGUCACAUGCAUCAUCCUUUGAGGCGCAGGACCGGGCAGCAGAAGUUCCUGUAAAGAAGCCACGUAGAGUCCGUGUGGGGGUCCCAAAGUGACUGGACCAACCGUGAGCUGAAGCCUUGGAGACCAUGAGUCAAAUGGAAGUCAAUACUCGUUCUCUGAGCUGAUUCCCUCCUGUGUUCGGUCACAGCAACAGAAACCUGACUCGCACAGGCAAAAGCGAGCAAGGCCAUCUUCCUCAUCCGGCAGAUUGCUUUCAAACGUGUGUCAACAAACGAGAGAAAGCCACACUCUCGAUCCCCCCCCCCCAAGCAGCACAUGUGAGCUGUUGUUUCAAAUAUUAAGACACUUUUCAAAGCUCUCAAUUUCUGGGGCUGGAGAGAUGGUUCAGCAGUUAAGGGCACUGGCUGCUCUUGCGGAGGACCUAGGUUCAAUUCCCAGCACUCCCGUGGUAGUUCAAUCAUCCGUAACCCCAGUUCCAGAGGAACUGACGCCCUCCUCUGACCUCUGAGAGCACCAGGCAUGCACAUGAUGCUUAUAAAUACAUUCAGGCAAAACACUCACGCACAUAAAAUAAGAUAAAAAAAAAAAUCUCAAUUCCUGAAUCUCAAAGAUCUGUAGAAUGACUACAUGAAUUAAUGGAACCAACCCACAAUUCCAGGGAGAAUGAACGGAGGAGCAAUUGAGUCAGCGGCUGUUCCAUAGCCAUGUCCCCAGGCAAGAGUGACCAACCUGCAAACAGAUGAACAUUUGUGAAUGGAAGCCGUGGUCUUCUCAAGGGAGAAGGGACUAGGCCAAUGCUGGCCGCCGACCUCUGAAAACCGACAGGUGUUCGUUUGCCUGUGUCUGUCUGUUGAGAAAGCGUCUUGCUAGAUUGUAGUUUCAGACCUCAGUGGGCCUUAAACUCAAGAUUCUCCUGCCUCAUCCUCCCAAGGAGAGAUCAUAAAUGUGCACCACACCGGGUUUGAAGGACAAAGACCCAGUGGAUAAAGGCAUCGUAAGGACACACCUGAAAAUGCCGAUUUUAUAAUAACCGAGUCCUCUCUCUCUCUCCUCCUCCGCUCGCCCGGCCCCGCAGGAGUAAUCUACUGCAUCCAGCCCUUUCCCGCCUCCUCCUUCUGAAAUCUAUCUGUCUCCGUAGCUGUUUAUCUCCAAGCAUUUUUAUUUCCAGAGAUGCCUAAAGAGGACAAGUGACUCACAGGCCCGGGAGCUCAGGUGAAAAAACCUUCUCUCCGCUCACCACCUGGGCUUCCCAGCCACAGAUUUCCUUUAAACACACAGUUAUCAUUAAAAUUCUCCCUGGUUUUCA